AACGAACGCUGGCGGCAGGCCUAACACAUGCAAGUCGAGCGCCGUUUCGGGGGAGCGGCGGACAGGUGAGUAAAGCGUGGGAAUAGGGCCUUCUAUACGGAGAAGCCUCGGGAAACAGAGAGAAAAACAGUAUAAACCAUGGGGAGGAAAGAAUAACCGGGGAAGGAUUAGGUCGCGUAGGAUUAGGUAGUUGGUGGGGUAAAGGCGAAACAAGCCGACGAUCCAUAAGUGGGUUGGGAGGGUGAAGGGCCACACUGGGACUGAGACACGGCCCAGACUCCUACGGGAGGCAGCAGUAGGGACUAUUCCGCAAUGGGCGCAAGCCUGACGGAGCAACGCCGCGUGAGUGAAGAAGGCUUUCGGGUCGUAAAGCUCGGUUGUUAGGGAAGAAUGGAUGUGUCGUAACUAUACAUGUAAGCGACGGUACCUAACCAGAAAGCCACGGCUAACUACGUG
This 456-nucleotide ribosomal RNA is filed under the name uncultured bacterium. RNAcentral's name for it is "partial 16S ribosomal RNA". It matches the Rfam family "Bacterial small subunit ribosomal RNA", at positions 30 to 507 of the family's 1533-position model. The record is from RNAcentral.